AAUCUUGCGUAACGGGCGAAAGCCUGACGCAGCCAUGCCGCGUGAAUGAUGCAGGUCUUUGGAUUGUAAAACUCUAUCACCGGGGCCGACAAUGCCGGUUCUCGGAGAAGAAGCCCAUGCCAACUUCGUUCCAGCAGCCGCGGUAAUACGAAGGGGGCUAGCGUUGCUCGGAAUUACUGGGCGUAAAGGGCGCGUAGGCGGACAUUUAAGUCAGAGGUGAAAUCCCAGAGCUCAACUCGGGAACUGCCUUUGAAACUGGGUGUCUUGAGUGUGGGAGAGGUAUGUGGAACUCCGAGUGUAGAGGUGAAAUUCGUAGAUAUUCGGAAGAACACCAGUGGCGAAGGCGACAUACUGGCUCAUUACUGACGCUGAGGCGCGAAAGCGUGGGGAGCAAACA
This 397-nucleotide ribosomal RNA is filed under the name uncultured bacterium. RNAcentral's name for it is "partial 16S ribosomal RNA". It matches the Rfam family "Bacterial small subunit ribosomal RNA", at positions 360 to 774 of the family's 1533-position model. The record is from RNAcentral.